UACGAAGGGGGCUAGCGUUGCUCGGAAUCACUGGGCGUAAAGCGCACGUAGGCGGACUCUUAAGUCAGGGGUGAAAUCCUGGAGCUCAACUCCAGAACUGCCUUUGAUACUGGGAGUCUUGAGUUCGGGAGAGGUGAGUGGAACUGCGAGUGUAGAGGUGAGAUUCGUAGAUAUUCGCAAGAACACCAGUGGCGAAGGCGGCUCACUGGCCCGAUACUGACGCUGAGGUGCGAAAGCGUGGGGAGCAAACAGG
This 253-nucleotide ribosomal RNA is filed under the name uncultured bacterium. RNAcentral's name for it is "partial 16S ribosomal RNA". It matches the Rfam family "Bacterial small subunit ribosomal RNA", at positions 524 to 776 of the family's 1533-position model. The record is from RNAcentral.